Molecule: long non-coding RNA, 253 nt
Filed under: Manihot esculenta (cassava)
Lineage: Eukaryota; Viridiplantae; Streptophyta; Magnoliopsida; Malpighiales; Euphorbiaceae
Description: long non-coding RNA (MESC_LNC003497)
Source: RNAcentral
CCUGCUCAUCACCUUUAAAGGUACAUGAUCUGACUUAUUAUUAUUAUUAAACAAAGGUUGUAUGCCCGAGCUCAUAGUAACGAAGUAAUAAGAGAAAAAUGAGGAUGUCCUUACAAGAAUCAUAAAAACUCGUAGGUCGAGAGUUCAGCCCACUGUUAAAAACAGAGCUCAUGGGUACGGCUAGUCCAGCUCGGAAAGAGCUUACAGAUAAGAAUGCCUUAGUGAAAUAGAUAAAUUUAUAAGUCAAAAGUUC